This 381-nucleotide ribosomal RNA is filed under the name uncultured eukaryote. RNAcentral's name for it is "partial 18S ribosomal RNA". It matches the Rfam family "Eukaryotic small subunit ribosomal RNA", at positions 592 to 976 of the family's 1831-position model. The record is from RNAcentral.
CAAUAGCGUAUAUUAAAGCUGUUGCGGUUAAAAAGCUCGUAGUUGGAUUUCUGUCAAGGACAACUGGUCCGCCCCUCGGGUGAGCACAUAGUUUGGUCUUGGCAUCUUGUUGGAAACUGUUGCUGCACUUGGUUGUGUGGCGCAGUGUCCAGCACUUUCACUUUGAGGAAAUUGGAGUGUUUCAAGCAGGCACAUGCCUUUGGACACAGUAGCAUGGAAUAAUUAGAUUGGGCUUUUGCUCCAACUUGUCGGUUUCUGGAGCUGAGGUGAGAAUUAAUGGGGAUUGUUGGGGGCAUCCGAAUUUAGCCGUCAGAGGUGAAAUUCUUGGAUCUGCUAAAGACGGACAACUGCGAAAGCGUCUGCCAAGGAUGUUUUCAUUGA